Molecule: transfer RNA, 87 nt
Filed under: Nostoc sp. KVJ20
Lineage: Bacteria; Bacillati; Cyanobacteriota; Cyanophyceae; Nostocales; Nostocaceae
Description: tRNA-Ser
Rfam family: tRNA
About the family: Transfer RNA (tRNA) molecules are approximately 80 nucleotides in length. Their secondary structure includes four short double-helical elements and three loops (D, anti-codon, and T loops).
Source: RNAcentral
GGAGAGGUGGCCGAGUGGUUUAAGGCGCAGACCUGGAAAGUCUGUAAUGGGGUAACUUAUUCGAGAGUUCGAAUCUCUCCCUCUCCG